UGAGAUUCCUGGAGGGAAGUAGGGGCUGAAGGGGGUGGUAGAAUUGGUUUGUGAUGGUGUUUAGUGCUGUUCUAAAAUCUUUCUCCGUGGAAGCGAAUGGUAGAAUUCUAUUUCUCCACCCUCUUGAAGUCAACCGUAACUUUACCUAAUGGGAUAGGAGCAGGAAUGGCGUGUGUCUGUUGCAAGGAAGCCGAAACACUGAAAAUUUGCUGGGCUUCUUUCCUCCUGCGUGAUGUGGAAAGUACCAGGCGGUGGAAGUUGCAUCAGCCUGAGUCUUUGCGUAAGGAGGAGCAGAACAGAAAGAGCAGGAACCUCGAAAAGUUAUGCUUUCGAAGACUAUUAAAAAAACAACAACAAGCCUUUCUACCCUGGCCACCACAGGAAUUUAAUGGGGACUUGUACAGAAGCUCACGGACAGCAGGCAUCUGCAAAGAUUUUUCUUGUAGAAGUCCCUGUUUUGCAAAGAUUUGAGCUGUAGCAAUUCAAAGUACAGAUUCUAGAACAAUAAAAGAAUAAUUGAUAAAAAUCUGUGCCCUUGAAAUUGGACUUUGAGGAGCUGAAGAGAAUGAGAAACUCUGGAAUAUGUGUAGCUGUGAAAACAAGAAGCCCCCCCCCCACACACACACACAUGCCUACAUACACAUACACAACAGACCAGUGUGGCGCUCUGCAGCAAAAGGGGACCAGGAGCAGAACCGGCCUGACCAAAGAUGGAGAGUGGCCACAGGACAAGCAAAGGAUGUCACCCUAGUCCUACCUGGCUGAUGAUUUCACCAGCAUCUAGAGAAGAUAGCAGCUGCUCUAAAAUUACCCUCUGACUCCAG
RNAcentral lists this long non-coding RNA (824 nucleotides) under Mustela putorius furo (domestic ferret). Its description in RNAcentral is "lncRNA (ENSMPUG00000031401.1)". The record is from RNAcentral. Lineage: Eukaryota; Metazoa; Chordata; Mammalia; Carnivora; Mustelidae.